Molecule: unclassified non-coding RNA, 323 nt
Filed under: plant metagenome
Description: partial contains 5.8S ribosomal RNA, internal transcribed spacer 2, and large subunit ribosomal RNA
Rfam family: 5.8S ribosomal RNA (bases 1-104)
Source: RNAcentral
GAAAUGCGAUAAGUAAUGUGAAUUGCAGAAUUCCGUGAAUCAUCGAAUCUUUGAACGCACAUUGCGCCCUCUGGUAUUCCGGGGGCAUGCCUGUCCGAGCGUCAUUGCACACCCUCAAGCGCGGCUUGUGUGUUGGGCCCCCGCGUCCUUGCCAUUUAAAGGACGGGCCCGAAAGGCAGUGGCGGCGUCGCGGUUAUCCGAUCAGCCAGAGCGUAUGGGGACUCUGUUCACACGUUCGGGGCGCGGACCAACGCCAGUCCGGUUAACAAUCUUUCUUCCAAGGUUGACCUCGGAUCAGGUAGGGAUACCCGCUGAACUUAAGC